Molecule: ribosomal RNA, 253 nt
Filed under: uncultured bacterium
Lineage: Bacteria
Description: partial 16S ribosomal RNA
Rfam family: Bacterial small subunit ribosomal RNA
Source: RNAcentral
UACGGGGGGGGCAAGCGUUGUUCGGAAUUACUGGGCGUAAAGGGCUCGUAGGCGGCCAACUAAGUCGGACGUGAAAUCCCUCGGCUUAACCGGGGAACUGCGUCCGAUACUGGAUGGCUUGAGUUUGGGAGAGGGAUGCGGAAUUCCAGGUGUAGCGGUGAAAUGCGUAGAUAUCGGAAGGAACACCAGUGGCGAAAGCGGCUUCCUGGUCCAGCACCGACGUUCAGGCACGAAAGCGUGGGGAGCAAACAGG